This 465-nucleotide ribosomal RNA is filed under the name uncultured bacterium. RNAcentral's name for it is "partial 16S ribosomal RNA". It matches the Rfam family "Bacterial small subunit ribosomal RNA", at positions 338 to 795 of the family's 1533-position model. The record is from RNAcentral.
CCUACGGGUGGCAGCAGUGGGGAAUAUUGCGCAAUGGGCGAAAGCCUGACGCAGCGACGCCGCGUGAGGGAUGAAGGUCUUCGGAUCGUAAACCUCUGUCAGCAGGGAAGAACGGUCACUGUGCUAAUCAGCAGUGAAUUGACGGUACCUGCAAAGGAAGCACCGGCUAACUCCGUGCCAGCAGCCGCGGUAAUACGGAGGGUGCGAGCGUUAAUCGGAAUUACUGGGCGUAAAGCGCUCGUAGGCGGUAUGUCAAGUCAAGGGGGAAAUCCCCGCGCUCAACGUGGGAACUGCCUUUGAAACUGGCAAACUGGAGUGUGUGAGAGGUUAGUGGAAUUCCAGGUGAAGGAGUGAAAUCCGUAGAUAUCUGGAGGAACAUCAGUGGCGAAGGCGACUAUCUGGCACAUAACUGACGCUGAGGAGCGAAAGCGUGGGUAGCAAACAGGAUUAGAUACCCGGGUAGUC